RNAcentral lists this long non-coding RNA (238 nucleotides) under Lathyrus oleraceus (garden pea). Its description in RNAcentral is "Pisum sativum (pea) long non-coding RNA (PSAT_LNC016734)". Lineage: Eukaryota; Viridiplantae; Streptophyta; Magnoliopsida; Fabales; Fabaceae. The record is from RNAcentral.
UUGUUUAUAAUACUCAGCAGACACAUUCUCAGAAAGGAUCAAAGGUGGUUGCUCCUGCAACGGUUCCAUCCUAUCAUAGGGUAACAACAAGGUUCCAACUCUAUCCUUGACCCCCUAAAUGUAGGCAGGCAUAACAAUGGCAAACUUCUUCCCUAAAACAGAUCCAUCCUUGACACCAAUAUGCUCCCAAGCUCUUCCCACUUGCUCCACUCUAGCUGGGUCACUCCGCUUCUCAAAG